RNAcentral lists this ribosomal RNA (700 nucleotides) under Cupriavidus respiraculi. RNAcentral's name for it is "bacterial SSU rRNA". It matches the Rfam family "Bacterial small subunit ribosomal RNA", at positions 8 to 703 of the family's 1533-position model. The record is from RNAcentral. Lineage: Bacteria; Pseudomonadati; Pseudomonadota; Betaproteobacteria; Burkholderiales; Burkholderiaceae.
AGAGUUUGAUCCUGGCUCAGAUUGAACGCUGGCGGCAUGCCUUACACAUGCAAGUCGAACGGCAGCACGGACUUCGGUCUGGUGGCGAGUGGCGAACGGGUGAGUAAUACAUCGGAACGUGCCCUGUUGUGGGGGAUAACUAGUCGAAAGAUUAGCUAAUACCGCAUACGACCUGAGGGUGAAAGCGGGGGACCGUAAGGCCUCGCGCAAUAGGAGCGGCCGAUGUCUGAUUAGCUAGUUGGUGGGGUAAAGGCCUACCAAGGCGACGAUCAGUAGCUGGUCUGAGAGGACGAUCAGCCACACUGGGACUGAGACACGGCCCAGACUCCUACGGGAGGCAGCAGUGGGGAAUUUUGGACAAUGGGGGCAACCCUGAUCCAGCAAUGCCGCGUGUGUGAAGAAGGCCUUCGGGUUGUAAAGCACUUUUGUCCGGAAAGAAAUGGCGCUGGUUAAUACCCGGCGUUGAUGACGGUACCGGAAGAAUAAGCACCGGCUAACUACGUGCCAGCAGCCGCGGUAAUACGUAGGGUGCGAGCGUUAAUCGGAAUUACUGGGCGUAAAGCGUGCGCAGGCGGUUUUGUAAGACAGGCGUGAAAUCCCCGGGCUCAACCUGGGAAUGGCGCUCGUGACUGCAAGGCUAGAGUGCGUCAGAGGGGGGUAGAAUUCCACGUGUAGCAGUGAAAUGCGUAGAGAUGUGGAG